AGAGUUUGAUCCUGGCUCAGAACGAACGCUGGCGGCAUGCCUAACACAUGCAAGUCGAACGAGACCUUCGGAUCUAGUGGCGCACGGGUGCGUAACGCGUGGGAAUCUGCCCUUGGGUUCGGAAUAACAGUUGGAAACGACUGCUAAUACCGGAUGAUGACGCAAGUCCAAAGAUUUAUCGCCCAAGGAUGAGCCCGCGUAGGAUUAGCUAGUUGGUGAGGUAAAGGCUCACCAAGGCUACGAUCCUUAGCUGGUCUGAGAGGAUGAUCAGCCACACUGGGACUGAGACACGGCCCAGACUCCUACGGGAGGCAGCAGUGGGGAAUAUUGGACAAUGGGCGAAAGCCUGACCCAGCAACGCCGCGUGAAGGAUGAAGUCUUUCGGGAUGUAAACUUCGUAAGAAUAGGAAGAAUAACAUGACGGUACUAUUUGUAAGGUCCGGCUAACUACGUGCCAGCAGCCGCGGUAAUACCGNAGGGACCAAGCGCUCUGCUCGGAUU
Molecule: ribosomal RNA, 501 nt
Filed under: uncultured Alphaproteobacteria bacterium
Lineage: Bacteria; Pseudomonadati; Pseudomonadota; Alphaproteobacteria
Description: bacterial SSU rRNA
Rfam family: Bacterial small subunit ribosomal RNA
Source: RNAcentral